UCACCGGAUAAGACAGCUGGAUGAUAGCCGGGCUGAAGACUCUGCUUGACUAGCUGAGAGGAGGUGCAUGGCCGUCGUCAGUCGUACUGUGAAGCAUCCUGUUAAGUCAGGCAACGAGCGAGACCCACGCCAACAGUUGCCAGCAUGUCCUCCGGGAUGAUGGGGACACUGUUGGGACCGCCUCUGCUAAAGAGGAGGAAGGAAUGGGCAACGGUAGGUCAGCAUGCCCCGAAUUAUCCGGGCUACACGCGGGCUACAAUGGUCAGGACAAUGGGUAUCGACACCGAGAGGUGGAGGCAAUCUCCUAAACCUGUCCUUAGUUCGGAUUGUGGGCUGCAACUCGCCCACAUGAAGCUGGAAUCCGUAGUAAUCGCGUUUCAAAAUAGCGCGGUGACUAUCGUCCUGCUCCUU
RNAcentral lists this ribosomal RNA (411 nucleotides) under uncultured Methanolinea sp. Its description in RNAcentral is "bacterial SSU rRNA". It matches the Rfam family "Archaeal small subunit ribosomal RNA", at positions 927 to 1338 of the family's 1478-position model. Lineage: Archaea; Methanobacteriati; Methanobacteriota; Methanomicrobia; Methanomicrobiales; Methanoregulaceae. The record is from RNAcentral.